GGCGUAAAGAGCUCGUAGGCGGUUUGUCGCGUCUGCUGUGAAAGCCCGGGGCUUAACCCCGUGGUGUGCAGUGGGUACGGGCAGACUUGAGUGCAGUAGGGGAGACUGGAAUUCCUGGUGUAGCGGUGAAAUGCGCAGAUAUCAGGAGGAACACCGAUGGCGAAGGCAGGUCUCUGGGCUGUUACUGACGCUGAGGAGCGAAAGCAUGGGGAGCGAACAGGAUUAGAUACCCUGGUAGUCCAUGCCGUAAACGUUGGGCACUAGGUGUGGGGGACAUUCCACGUUUUCCGCGCCGUAGCUAACGCAUUAAGUGCCCCGCCUGGGGAGUACGGCCGCAAGGCUAAAACUCAAAGGAAUUGACGGGGGCCCGCACAAGCGGCGGAGCAUGCGGAUUAAUUCGAUGCAACGCGAAGAACCUUACCAAGGCUUGACAUACACCAGACCGGCCCAGAGAUGGGUUUUCCUCUUUGAGGUUGGUGUACAGGUGGUGCAUGGUUGUCGUCAGCUCGUGUCGUGAGAUGUUGGGUUAAGUCCCGCAACGAGCGCAACCCUCGUUCUAUGUUGCCAGCACGUGAUGGUGGGGACUCAUAGGAGACUGCCGGGGUCAACUCGGAGGAAGGUGGGGAUGACGUCAAAUCAUCAUGCCCCUUAUGUCUUGGGCUUCACGCAUGCUACAAUGGCCGGUACAAUGGGUUGCGAUACCGUGAGGUGGAGCUAAUCCCAAAAAGCUGGUCUCAGUUCGGAUCGUGGUCUGCAACUCGACCACGUGAAGUCGGAGUCGCUAGUAAUCGCAGAUCAGCAACGCUGCGG
RNAcentral lists this ribosomal RNA (810 nucleotides) under uncultured bacterium. Its description in RNAcentral is "bacterial SSU rRNA". It matches the Rfam family "Bacterial small subunit ribosomal RNA", at positions 557 to 1362 of the family's 1533-position model. The record is from RNAcentral.